RNAcentral lists this ribosomal RNA (333 nucleotides) under Ostreococcus mediterraneus. RNAcentral describes it as "partial Bacterial small subunit ribosomal RNA". It matches the Rfam family "Bacterial small subunit ribosomal RNA", at positions 1 to 357 of the family's 1533-position model. The record is from RNAcentral. Lineage: Eukaryota; Viridiplantae; Chlorophyta; Mamiellophyceae; Mamiellales; Bathycoccaceae.
AUGGAGAGUUUGAUCCUGGCUCAGAAGGAACGCUGGCAGCGUGCAUAACACAUGCAAGUCGAACGGUAGUAUAUCUUCGGAUAUAUGAGAGUGGCGAACGGGUGAGUAACACGUAAGAAUCUACCUUUGGGACGGGGAUAACUUCUGGAAACGGAUGCUAAUACCCGAUACGCUGUGGAGUGAAAGAAUUUCGCCCAAAGAUGAUCUUGCGUCUGAUUAGCUAGUUGGUAGGGUAAUGGCUUACCAAGGCGACGAUCAGUAGCUGGUCUGAGAGGAUGGACAGCCACAUUGGAACUGAGACACGGUCCAAACUCCUACGGGAGGCAGCAGUGG